CCGAAUCACUUGUUUCCCACCCUUUUUUUUAUUUUGUUAUAAAAUCUAUGUGAUGAUUAAAUUUGGAAAAAGUGGGUGCAAAUAUUUAAAAAAUAUCUGUAUAAGAACUGUCGGGAUUCCGAAUAGAAACUUCGGAAUCGAUUGGACAUUUAUUUCGUGGUUAUAUACGUUUCAAACGAGUUGACAAAACUUUACACACUCGAAUUUGAUUGUCGAUCACCACUUUCUUGGAAAUAUCGAUCGUGACAAGACAGCUCAACACAUUUGGAACGUUUAUACUUAAAAAAAGCAAUUCACUGCAUUUAAUCCUAUAAUUCAAUAAGUAAACGACAAUAAAACCCAGUGAAUAAUCUUUGCGCCAAUGCGAUUCUAAAACCGUUACUGAAAACAACAAAAGCUUCGAUUGAGAGACUGAAGAAAAAUUAUUUUCCAACGAGUUUAACAGAGUUUAUAACCUCCAUUUGUCGUGACUCGCAUGAGCGAAGAUAUUCACUGACAUAGUGGCAACGUGAAAAAGCCGUUAUGGAAAGUGUGUUGAAAUAAAAAGUGCCAAAUUUUCGACGGCGAACCGUGCGCGGGAGUGAAUUUUCUAAAAAUCGAUUUAUAAAGUUCGACGAAGUAAUUUUGAUGGUGCAUUAAAUCGUCUGCUUUGUGGCUUGAGACACUUCGAAAAAAUGUGAAUCCGGGACCUCGUGGAAGUUGAUGCUCCGAGAGUAUUGUCAGCCGUGAAUCGGAGUGCGAAGGAAAUAAAACGAGGACAAUUUGAUCGGGAGAACGCUGGGCAACGAGACGAGCGUUGCGAUCUCGUCUGGGAGGAGGCAAACGCAAAGGAACUUCAUUAUAAAAAGCUCACAGGUGAAUAAUUCGUCGGUGUCGUUUCCUCGGGGCCGGAUAAUCAAGAUUCAUGGAGCGACGCUUCGUUUAAAUUCAGGAUGACGGAGCAAUAACGUUUGGAAAUCGGUGGGACACAGUAUCGAGGAGGGAAUCCGUAUUUCUCGCCCACGCUCGCAAAGCACACUCGCAAGUGCUCACAAACGACGACGUACGAAUAUUCGUAAUGCGGUACAAGAGUCGAAUAAGUCUUUGAUCGAGUCGUACGACUUGGUCACUUCUUCUGCCAAGCAUUUUACGUUCGUUCAGGUUAUAAAUCGAAGAAGAUGAAACAGAACACGGCGUUUCGCUCACGAGGCUCGUAACAGGGGAUGCGAUAUUCGCUCGGGUCUCGUUGGAAGCAGCUGGCCAUCGAGCUCGAAAAGUCUCGAGAGCAACUGUCCACCUUGAUAGCCCAGCAGAAGAGGCUCGUGGCGAGCAGGCUUAUGAGGAGGUUCGACUGUAGAUUUCCGACGUUUGCGAAGGAGGCUGAGAAAAGCUCGUCGAAGCAUAUAGUAUAAUAGCAGAAGUAUACAUGGGCGAGAUAUCUCGUUCCAUUAUAUAUCCUCGUUGGCAACAUAUAC
Molecule: long non-coding RNA, 1454 nt
Organism: Venturia canescens
Lineage: Eukaryota; Metazoa; Arthropoda; Insecta; Hymenoptera; Ichneumonidae
Exons: 4
Source: RefSeq, a predicted model, not a curated record